Molecule: unclassified non-coding RNA, 216 nt
Filed under: Hevea brasiliensis (rubber tree)
Lineage: Eukaryota; Viridiplantae; Streptophyta; Magnoliopsida; Malpighiales; Euphorbiaceae
Source: RNAcentral
GGGAUGGUCACUGAUUUGACUUUGGCAAGGGAGAACCAAACUAGUUUCGAGGAGUAUCUGAGCAAUAAUCCACAAGCUAGUCCUGGAAUCGACUUGACUGUCACUGUUUUGACUACUGGCUUUUGGCCAAGCUACAAGUCUUUUGACCUCAACCUGCCGGCAGAGAUGGUAAAGUGUGUUGAAGUUUUCAGAGAGUUCUAUCAAACAAAAACAAAG